This 497-nucleotide ribosomal RNA is filed under the name uncultured bacterium. RNAcentral's name for it is "partial 16S ribosomal RNA". It matches the Rfam family "Bacterial small subunit ribosomal RNA", at positions 28 to 507 of the family's 1533-position model. The record is from RNAcentral.
GAUGAACGCUGGCGGCGUGCCUAAUACAUGCAAGUCGAGCGAACGGACGAGAAGCUUGCUUCUCUGAUGUUAGCGGCGGACGGGUGAGUAACACGUGGAUAACCUACCUAUAAGACUGGGAUAACUUCGGGAAACCGUAGCUAAUACCGGAUAAUAUUUUGAACCGCAUGGUUCAAAAGUGAAAGGCGGUCUUGCUGUCACUUAUAGAUGGAUCCGCGCUGCAUUAGCUAGUUGGUAAGGUAACGGCUUACCAAGGCAACGAUGCAUAGCCGACCUGAGAGGGUGAUCGGCCACACUGGAACUGAGACACGGUCCAGACUCCUACGGGAGGCAGCAGUAGGGAAUCUUCCGCAAUGGGCGAAAGCCUGACGGAGCAACGCCGCGUGAGUGAUGAAGGUCUUCGGAUCGUAAAACGCUGUUAUUAGGGAAGAACAUAUGUGUAAGUAACUGUGCACAUCUUGACGGUACCUAAUCAGAAAGCCACGGCUAACUACGUG